CGCUGAAUAAUUUCUUCUCGGAAUUACCUAAUACAUAUGUGGAUAGGAAGUAACAUAUAUCUGAUAAAAUAAUUGAGAUCGAUAUAUAAAGCAAAUAUAGUAUUAGACACCACAUUUAUGAAAAAGAAAAAGGUAAUAGGAGUGUGAAUUGAGGAGGAUAAGGUUCAUGGUUCAUGACUAAGGCAACUUUAUUAGUUUGUAGUGCACAACUUUAUGCCUUCACUACAUGUGUAUAUGAAAAAAAGAGAAAGAGCACGAGACAAAC
RNAcentral lists this long non-coding RNA (265 nucleotides) under Solanum tuberosum (potato). RNAcentral describes it as "long non-coding RNA (STUB_LNC005502)". Lineage: Eukaryota; Viridiplantae; Streptophyta; Magnoliopsida; Solanales; Solanaceae. The record is from RNAcentral.